CACAAAAAAUAAACUCAAACACCUGCGCGUCCUUGAUACACAAGCGAAGAGAUUUACGCACGUACGUGCGCGCAUGACGACAUCGCCGUCCGCUUGAAGUGCGACAACAUCUUUUCUGUCUUUUGGUUUGAGUGCGUGUGCGUGUGCGUGUCCAGAACAAAGAAAAACGUGCGACAUCACAACACGAUAACUCCCAUAGCUUUCUUUUCUUGUUGCUGUGUGUUCCUGCACAUCAGCAUACACCGGUGCGAGCGCGACGCGGAGGCGCCAUUUGAGCCCGCACUCACACCCAGAGAGCUUCUCCCUCCCCGAGUCUCUCACAGAGACGCCAUUAUUGCACGACUUGAGUGAGAUUGCGUCGACCAAGAGCACGCGAAACGCAGAGAAAACUAGUGUGCGCACGAGUCACACAAACGCGCACACGUGUCCUUCUCCUAAAACAGUCCUAAACCCGAAAGGACGAAGAAGUCAGUGUCAUGUACGCAACAGUGCCGAUUCUGACGUUGGGGCCAUACUCCCUCGCCCUUGUGGCAGGGCUCCUGCUGUACUGGAACACCUCUCUCAUCGUUUCGCGGGUGCUGACCGCCUUCAUUGUCUCCAUGAUCGCCAUGAAGGUGGACCUGGCCUUCCACCUGUUCUUUAGCUGCUGCCACCGGGUCGUCUCUCUUCUGUGCCGCUUCCGCACGUUCUGGAGCCCGAACGGCUCCCUCGACUUCCUCCAGACGCAGUCGCAGUUCUACUCCAUUGCAGACGUGGUGAGCCUUGCACUGCUGGUCGGCAACGCCCUGCAGUUUUGGACGGCCGCCUUGGUGACGCGCAUCGCCCUCUCCGCUCUUGCCACCCGAACAGAGCUAAGCAUUCGUUGGUGGCAGUCGCAAUCCGCAGCCGAGCAUGUCCUUUUUGUUUUAGGGUCUCUGUUGUGCUGCACGGGGUGCGCGCUGCAGUGGGCGUACUACACCCUUCUCCCAACGGAGGAGAGGACCCAGGGCGGGACAGGCUCGCUUCUGAUGUGGUACACGUCUAUUGUGUACAUUGUGGAAGUGGGGCUGCGCAGCGCAUGCACGCUGGCGACGUCAGUGAUGCGGAUGUGGGGUUACAGAGUACUCAAGUCUCUGGCCAGCCAGGUCGAUCUUAUCGCCGUGCGAGCACUCGAGGACUCCGGCCUGAACCCGUUCACCGAGGUGCACGACCUCUACAUGCAGUAUCUCUACGCUGUCGCGUGCGCCGCCACGGCGUGGUACUACACCUCGUCCUCUACCCCGAUGUGGAUGCAGUGCUUCAUGCUGGUGCGCCUCUACUUCAUCACGCUGGCCUCAGGCAAGCUGCACCACUAUCGCCAGGUGCUUGAUCGUUUUCCUUCCGUCGCCGCGGACCCGACGAAGACGUGUGGCAUCUGCCUCGACGACUUUGUGGAUGGAGAGAGUGUGAAAUGCCUGCCAUGUGGGCACACGUUUCACGGAGCGUGUGUGCGCUCCUGGCUCAUCCGCGCUGCUGUGUGCCCGACGUGUCGGCAACCUGCUGCGCAGUCGCGUCAUCAACACUUCGCGGCGGCUCACCAUGAGCGCAUUUCACGGCAGCCGCGGGUUUCGCUGGAUAUGCGUGUACCUGCAGCUGGCGGCGGCUUCACGGGGUCGCUGCAGCCGCUUGCCCCGCGGCUGCCAGCCGCCGCUCCCUUAGCCCGUUCAUCAAGCCGAUAUAUGAGUCGCAGCGGUGCUGACGCGCUGUCGCAGUCGCCAUCGCUUCCAGUCGAGCUUCGAAGGCUGCCACACUAUGAGGAGCUACAGCGCGUCGAUGCCAAGCGCCGGUCACUGGCCCUUCACCGCCAGCAGCAGCUCUUCUCCGAAGGCACCCGCGCCGCCGCGUCACCGCAAGAGCGUCACAAAGAAGAAACGGUGGGCCGCGUGAGAGAAAGCGCCGCUAUCGAUGCCCUUCUUUUCACGGAGACGCCGCUCCUUCCAGCAGAGUCAACGCCGCUGCCCCCGUAUCACGGCACCUCAGGACGUCGCAAACGGCAGCGACCGCCGCCGGAAAGCACCCCUGGAAGCGGCACAAGCGCGCGAAACACAGCUUCUUCUGGAGUUGCAGCGACAGAAGACUUGCCAUCGCGGCGGAGAAUGGAGUAGAGGUGCAGACUGAGAGCGCCCAGUGUCGUCACCGCCCCAUCCACCCCCACCACCACCACCACCACUAACAACACCCUCUCUCUCGCCGAUGGCGCGUGAAUGUCCGUCUCGCAGUAUUGCAUACUGCGUUGUCUCUUGCUGCGCAUCGUUCACCCAACAACACCCUCUCCUGCAUCGACGUCUCCCCCUGCCCUGUUCCCGUGCAGCACAGAAGAGAGACGAUCUGGUCGCUGCUCACCCUCUCUGCUUUGGUAUGUGAAUGGGUGUGUUUCCUUGCUCCUCUCGCGCUGUGCGGGUACUGGCCGGCUGGCCACUAUUCAACCACCCCACACACGGACUCCUCUGUUCAAAGAGCAGACGAAGAGAAGCACCCCGAUCAGCGGCUGAGCAAGGGAUGAGCCACAGAAAGAAAAGGAAGAGCGUCCCAACUCGGGUACCGUCUGCUGGAACGAAAAGAUCCAAGGUCGAAAGGCUGCAAUGGCAUGUGCUUGUGGAGGCAGCACGGUAUGGUGUCACGGACGAGGCUUGCUGCUCCGCACGCACCUAAUCUUCGCGCCGGGGAAUCGCGGGAUUGGGGAGGAAUAAGAGGAGAUGCAGCGUGCCUCCUCUACGCUGUGCAGCUCUACCCCGUGCACAAAGUAGCACGGCUGCCUGUUUUUUUUUGUUUUGUCGAUAUUGGUUGCUUCUUGUCGUACUUUUUUGAGGUGGCUGCUUCUGAAAUGUUGAUUCGUCCACGCUGCUGCUGCUGCCGCUGGUAAUGCAUGUGUACG
Molecule: unclassified non-coding RNA, 2893 nt
Filed under: Leishmania donovani
Lineage: Eukaryota; Euglenozoa; Kinetoplastea; Trypanosomatida; Trypanosomatidae
Description: gene:LdHU3.36.4250(CDS-product:predicted_zinc_fin ger_protein)
Source: RNAcentral